Molecule: ribosomal RNA, 788 nt
Filed under: Enterococcus faecium
Lineage: Bacteria; Bacillati; Bacillota; Bacilli; Lactobacillales; Enterococcaceae
Description: bacterial SSU rRNA
Rfam family: Bacterial small subunit ribosomal RNA
Source: RNAcentral
GGCUCAGGACGAACGCUGGCGGCGUGCCUAAUACAUGCAAGUCGAACGCUUCUUUUUCCACCGGAGCUUGCUCCACCGGAAAAAGAGGAGUGGCGAACGGGUGAGUAACACGUGGGUAACCUGCCCAUCAGAAGGGGAUAACACUUGGAAACAGGUGCUAAUACCGUAUAACAAUCGAAACCGCAUGGUUUUGAUUUGAAAGGCGCUUUCGGGUGUCGCUGAUGGAUGGACCCGCGGUGCAUUAGCUAGUUGGUGAGGUAACGGCUCACCAAGGCCACGAUGCAUAGCCGACCUGAGAGGGUGAUCGGCCACAUUGGGACUGAGACACGGCCCAAACUCCUACGGGAGGCAGCAGUAGGGAAUCUUCGGCAAUGGACGAAAGUCUGACCGAGCAACGCCGCGUGAGUGAAGAAGGUUUUCGGAUCGUAAAACUCUGUUGUUAGAGAAGAACAAGGAUGAGAGUAACUGUUCAUCCCUUGACGGUAUCUAACCAGAAAGCCACGGCUAACUACGUGCCAGCAGCCGCGGUAAUACGUAGGUGGCAAGCGUUGUCCGGAUUUAUUGGGCGUAAAGCGAGCGCAGGCGGUUUCUUAAGUYUGAUGUGAAAGCCCCCGGCUCAACCGGGGAGGGUCAUUGGAAACUGGGAGACUUGAGUGCAGAAGAGGAGAGUGGAAUUCCAUGUGUAGCGGUGAAAUGCGUAGAUAUAUGGAGGAACACCAGUGGCGAAGGCGGCUCUCUGGUCUGUAACUGACRCUGAGGCUCGAAAGCGUGGGGAGCAAACAGGAUUA